This 440-nucleotide ribosomal RNA is filed under the name uncultured bacterium. RNAcentral's name for it is "bacterial SSU rRNA". It matches the Rfam family "Bacterial small subunit ribosomal RNA", at positions 958 to 1398 of the family's 1533-position model. The record is from RNAcentral.
AACGCGAAGAACCUUACCAAGGCUUGACAUCCUCUUGACCGGUGUAGAGAUACACCUUCUCUUCGGAGCAAGAGAGACAGGUGGUGCAUGGUUGUCGUCAGCUCGUGUCGUGAGAUGUUGGGUUAAGUCCCGCAACGAGCGCAACCCUUGCCUUUAGUAGCCAGCAGGUGAAGCUGGGCACACUAGAGGGACUGCCGUGGAUAACACGGAGGAAGGCGGGGAUGACGUCAAAUCAUCAUGCCCCUUAUGUCUUGGGCAACACACGUGCUACAAUGGCCCAUACAAAGUGAAGCAAGACAGUGAUGUGGAGCAAAACACAAAAGUGGGCCUUAGUUCGGAUUGUAGUCUGCAACCCGACUACAUGAAGUUGGAAUCGCUAGUAAUCGCGAAUCAGCAUGUCGCGGUGAAUACGUUCCCGGGCCUUGUACACACCGUACGUC